AUUGAACGCUGGCGGCAUGCUUUACACAUGCAAGUCGAACGGCAGCACGGGCUUCGGCCUGGUGGCGAGUGGCGAACGGGUGAGUAAUAUAUCGGAACGUACCCAGAAGUGGGGGAUAACGUAGCGAAAGUUACGCUAAUACCGCAUACGAUCUACGGAUGAAAGUGGGGGACCUUCGGGCCUCAUGCCUUUGGAGCGGCCGAUAUCUGAUUAGCUAGUUGGUGAGGGAAAGGCUCCCCAAGGCGACGAUCAGUAGCUGGUCUGAGGGGACGAUCAGCCACGCUGGGACUGAGACACGGUCCAGACUCCUACGGGAGGCAGCAGUGGGGAAUAUUGGACAAUGGGCGCAAGCCUGAUCCAGCCAUACCGCGUGGGUGAAGAAGGCCUUCGGGUUGUAAAGCCCUUUUGUUUGGAAAGAAAUCCAGCUGGUUAAUACCCGGUUGGGAUGACGGUACCCAAAGAAUAAGCACCGGCUAACUUCGUGCCAGCAGCCGCCGCAG
Molecule: ribosomal RNA, 500 nt
Filed under: uncultured bacterium
Lineage: Bacteria
Description: partial 16S ribosomal RNA
Rfam family: Bacterial small subunit ribosomal RNA
Source: RNAcentral